Molecule: long non-coding RNA, 694 nt
Organism: Stomoxys calcitrans (stable fly)
Lineage: Eukaryota; Metazoa; Arthropoda; Insecta; Diptera; Muscidae
Exons: 2
Source: RefSeq, a predicted model, not a curated record
UGUCAUUCGCCACCAACCACGCCACCGACCACAAGCCAAAAAUUAUAUUUCCUCAUAAAUUCGCAAAUAAUUCUGCCGGCACCAUAAAACAGGGCAUAAAUAAUAUUCCGUCCCAUGCAACCAAUAAUUUGGCCCAAGAAAACAUUAAAAUAGGAGUCACAGGCAAUAAAACAUGGCCACAAAAACCAAAGAAAAAGUUUACACACAUACGUCCACACAUUCCACCCGUGCGUAUACAGCAAAAACCACCGCAUUUGGCAAAUUUUUGUCAAACGUAUGCGCACGGUGUGGGCUAAAUAUCCACAAUUAAUCAAUGAACAUAAACUCCCAGCAGCAGUUCCACACCAUGAUUACAUUCAUGAAGCCCAGGUUACGGCACCAAACACGAUCACAGACACAUAUACAAUGUGAUAUAUAUAUAUAUAUAUAGCCGGCCGAAUAUUUGUCAAUUCUUGCGAACUCUCGCUCUGUCUGGCGUAUAAAGAAAAACAUCGUUCAAAGAAAAACUGUCGCACCGAAUAUAUGUACAUUAAUGUGGGUCUACACUGCACGUUUCUUCCCAGUGAGUGUCGAUACGAUUCGAAUAAAGAUGACCAGGAGCCAAUUAAAUCUUUACACACCCAAUGACCGACAUCGCCAUAACCCAGCAAACCAUUUUGUAUAUGAUGCCAAUAAAUAUCAUCAUAAAAUUUUA